AAGUCGUAACAAGGUUUCCGUAGGUGAACCUGCGGAAGGAUCAUUAACACGUCCUAGCACGUUUUAACAAACUCCACACCACAUUCUGUGAACCAUUUUAUUCUUUUUUAAUUUAUAACCCCUUUUUUUGACUCUAACCUUCAACCCCUAGUUGACUGAUCAAAAAAUAAUAGCAUCAUGUUUAUUCAUGUGUGUUGUUGUGAGAAUGAAGGACAAUUUUUUGUUUUUCAUUUUUUUAUAUGAAAAUUAUAAGCACAACUCUUAGCAAUGGAUAUCUUGGUUCUC
Molecule: unclassified non-coding RNA, 285 nt
Filed under: fungal sp.
Lineage: Eukaryota; Fungi
Description: partial internal transcribed spacer region
Rfam family: Eukaryotic small subunit ribosomal RNA (bases 1-46)
Source: RNAcentral